This is a long non-coding RNA of Oncorhynchus gorbuscha (pink salmon), 1543 nucleotides long. RefSeq lists it as uncharacterized. NCBI's taxonomy places the organism in Eukaryota, Metazoa, Chordata, Actinopteri, Salmoniformes, Salmonidae. The transcript has 3 exons. The record is from RefSeq and is a predicted model, not a curated record.
CCUAGUAUGGUCAUUAUAUACAUCUACAUGAUGUAUUGUUACACCAUGUAGGAGCAGUAUAGACCUAGUCUGUUCAUUAUAUACAUCUACACACAUCUUUAUCAAGGGUAUCUAUAAAUAGGUGCUUAUGUUGAUAUCUAGUUAUUUGACUGAAUCAGAAAUACAGAUGUGUAGUAGAUGUUGAGUUUAUUUUAAAUUCUCAUAAAAGAUCUGAACUAAUCAAACAACACUUGUUGCUCUUUGUACGUGUUUAUAUAAUAUUCAUAUUUAAUGGAGAGAAAAAAACGUUUCCCUAAACUGCUUUAUAAUAUUAUAAUUCUCGACCAUGAGCUCACAAAGCUACUCUCCUGCUAAAGAAGAGCAGGUCUGCUGGACGGAGAAAGAAGCUCUCGUGACAGAGGAGGAGAAAGAGGAAGCUGUUACAAUACAAAAACAAGUAGAGAGUGAGGCUGUCACAGUGAAAGAAGAAGAGAAAGACUCGUUCAGAGUGAAAGAGGAUGUUACUGUGAAAGAAAAGGAGGAAGAUGCAGUUUUUGGAGUGGAGGAUGAAAUGAAAGAAGAUGAAAACGUUUUAGGAAUGAAGGAUGAAGAGGGGGAGGUUACUGUCACAUUUAGAGGAGGACGAAGAAGAGAAGACUGGAGAUCUGAUUCACACCAGUAAAUACAGAGUGAGUGAUGUCAUAGUAAGACCUUCAACGAGUUGGCUUGAUGGGAAGUCGGGAUGUCAUCCAAUAGGAGAGAGACGGGACUAUCGUGGAUCCUCUGGGGAUCCUAAAUAACAUCAUGAUGCUGACGAGGCAGAGAAGAGUCUCUCCAGAUCAGAACUUCUCAAGAAACACCAGCAGAGACCCACAGGGAAUAAAUCGAAUUGCUGCUCUGACUUUGGGAAAUGUUUCAUAAGAUCUAAUUCACUAAAAGUACACCUGAGAAUUCACACUGGAGGGAAAUCUCACUGCUGCUCUGACUUUGGGAAAAGAUUCAAUUCUCCAGUUAGACCUUAACAUAUAUAAAAUAAUUCACACUGGAGAGAAACCUUUUGUCUGUGAUCACUGUGGGAAAAGUUUUAUUCGGCUAAAAACUCUGAAAACACACCAGAGAAUACACACAGGAGAGAAAUCUUAUAGCUGUAAUCAAUGUGGGAAGAGUUUUUCUACAUCUAGUUAUCUAAGGAUACACCAGAGAACACACACAUGAGAGAAACCAUAUAGCUAUAAUCAAUGUGGGAAGUGUUUCACUCAGCUAAAUAGCCUGAUAGUACACCAGAGAACACACACAGGAGAGAAAUGUUUUACUACAUCUAGCCAGCUGACUUUACACCAGAGAACACACACUGGUUAGAAAUAUUAUAGCUGUGAUCAAUGUGGGAAGGGUUUUUCUCGGCCAGACAGCCUGAAUAUACACAAGCGGACACACACAGGAGAGAAAUCUUAUAGCUGGAGUCAAUGUGGGAAGGGUUUUACUUCAUCUACAUUUACAUUUACAUUUACAUUUAACAUUUAAGUCAUUUAGCAGACGCUCUUAUCCAGAGCGACUUACAAAUUGG